Molecule: long non-coding RNA, 236 nt
Filed under: Pelusios castaneus (West African mud turtle)
Lineage: Eukaryota; Metazoa; Chordata; Testudines; Pelomedusidae
Description: lncRNA (ENSPCEG00000019962.1)
Source: RNAcentral
UACAAAUAAAAAGCUUCCAAGUUCUCUCAACUUCAAGCCAUCAUCCCUACGAAGAGUCAGUAUUGCAACACUGCCCAGGAAUAUUGGAAAUGCCGGCAUUGGUUUGCCUCUGGCCCAGUUACAUGAUACUGAUGGAAAUCAAAUUAGUGACAAAUUCCACAGACGAUCAAAAAGUUGGGGCCGACUGGGAUCAAAGCAAAAUGAAAAGCGUCCUUCACUGCAAAGAUUCAUUAGCA